RNAcentral lists this ribosomal RNA (429 nucleotides) under uncultured delta proteobacterium. RNAcentral describes it as "bacterial SSU rRNA". It matches the Rfam family "Bacterial small subunit ribosomal RNA", at positions 958 to 1385 of the family's 1533-position model. The record is from RNAcentral. RNAcentral also lists the same sequence under 1 other name. Lineage: Bacteria; Deltaproteobacteria.
AACGCGAAGAACCUUACCUGGGCUUGACAUGCUGGUGAAAGCCGGUGGAAACACCGGCCCCUCUUCGGAGCGCCAGCACAGGUGCUGCAUGGCUGUCGUCAGCUCGUGUCGUGAGAUGUUGGGUUAAGUCCCGCAACGAGCGCAACCCUCGCUCCCAGUUGCCAGCGGUUCGGCCGGGGACUCUGGGGGGACUGCCGGCGUUAAGCCGGAGGAAGGUGGGGACGACGUCAAGUCAUCACGGCCCUUACGUCCAGGGCGACACACGUGCUACAAUGCCCGGUACAGCGCGUCGCGAACUCGCGAGAGGGAGCCAAUCGCUAAAAGCCGGGCUAAGUUCGGAUUGCAGUCUGCAACUCGACUGCAUGAAGCCGGAAUCGCUAGUAAUCGCGGAUCAGCCACGCCGCGGUGAAUACGUUCCCGGGCCUUGUA